RNAcentral lists this long non-coding RNA (9154 nucleotides) under Vitis vinifera (wine grape). Its description in RNAcentral is "long non-coding RNA (VVIN_LNC001013)". Lineage: Eukaryota; Viridiplantae; Streptophyta; Magnoliopsida; Vitales; Vitaceae. The record is from RNAcentral.
ACAAAUUUAGGUCUUGAGGGGUGAGAUAUAUAGGUGAGAAAAAGGAAAAAGGAGGGGUCUCUUUUGAUUGUGGGAGGAUUCUUUGUUGGGUGAGAGGACGCAUUGCAGAGUGGAGAGGGAGAAAGGAGUAUUCUUUGGGAACGCAGGAGAGGAUCAACUGAGGUGAUUCUGAGAAAAGGUGGAGAGGUGCACAAGAGCUGGAAAAAGAGAGAUUGCAGCCGAGGUUCUAGCAGACGGAAAGGGCCACAAUUGGUUCUAUUGAGAUUGGUGGGUUGUUUGUUUAUUUGCUCUGAUUUCUUAUUCAUUUUUAGGCUUUUGUUCUUUUCAAUGUCAUUGAUUUCAUUUGAGAACAAUAUGCAUUUGGGUCUGUUCUUGAAUCUGAUCUGUUUUGAAUCAUUCCCCUAUCCUAAGCCAAUGGAUUGAAACAUGAAACGUGGCUCCCUUUUUAUCGUCUCGUUCUGUUUUUUUUCAUUUUUUUUAUGCUCUGUUUUCGAAUGCCAUUCUCUCUUUCCGACAUUUGCUUGUGAGGAAUCUUCUGAAAACUGCUGAAGCGUGGAAUUCGAAUUUGGAAAGAUGAGAUGGAAAGAAAAUGCAGGGUUUUUGUGCAAGCACAUUCGCUAAAAAACAAAAGGACGACCCCACACUUGCUGUCUCGAUUCUCACAGCAGGGCCUUGGCCAAUUCAAUCAAAUGAUAUGUAUAACCCUCCAGUAGAGAUUCUGGAAGUUUGUGAGAAAAUCAUAGGUUAUUAUCUCGGGACCUGCACUGGGAUGAGAUUGUAUUGGCAAACGAAUAUGGGCACGGCUGAUUUGAGAGCAACGUAUGGUAGGGAUCAGCAGGAAGAUUUAAUGGGACUGCCGUAGUUGAAAUGGAUGAUUUUGGCUUUGGUGGUGGUCCUUGUUCUAUUGCCGUUACUGCAGUGUUAGAUUUUUUCUGGCAGAAGUGAUUUCUGACUUUAUUACUGAGCAGGGGAAAGAUGCGCAGGUCAUGGAGACAAUUCUGGAAACUACUCCUUUAUAUAUGCUAAGUCUAUUUUUAGUUUUCAAGGUCUGUGCCUUAGCAGGCUGAUGAAUUCCCUUGAAAAGCGUCUCUUGUGUGAUGACGAGGAAGAUGAGGAAAAGUUAGAUGAGAGCCGCUGGUCAUCCAAUUUAGAUGCAUUGUGAUUGCAGAUCGUGCAUAUACGGGUGCUUUUCUUAGCCUGUCACUGUACUGAAAAUUCUGGAAUUCUUGCUGUUUAUGCUACAGCUUACAAAUAAAGAUGGAUGAAUUGAAGGAGUAGCAUCUAGAAAAGGCCUUUAUCCAAUCUCCAGAGGGAACAAACAGCUUGAUGCUUAUGUACAAUUGAUAAUUAAGUAUACAAACCGUAUGGUAUUGUUCUGUUUCUUGCCAUCGUUCUUGAUUAGUUCAAAGAAGAUGAUCGCUCUUAGGUUUGCAAAUUGGACCUAAGGAAGAGGAAUCCCUAAACUCUUCAGAGGAAGAUACAGGAAUUACUAUCUGCACAGAUUUACAGUUAUUAAUUGCUCACAGACGAAUAAUAUUCUGACCCAGCAAUUCUGAUACUGAAUUAAGUGGUAACCUAAAUUACUGUCUCUGUGUAAAUUUAAUUCCUCUUCUCCAUGAUCAAAGACGAAAUGCUGUGAAUAUGGCAGUUGGUGUUGUCAAGAAUCCAUUGAUGCAUUGCAAGGCUGCACUAGAGGACUUGCGAGUCUCUAAACCAAACCAAGGUCAGUCUUUUGGAUGUACCACAUGGUGGUUUUGACAAACUAUCGACAAGAAACUUAUCUACUUCCUUUGAGUGGCUGCACACUAGUGAACAGGUUGUUAAUAAAGUACUGGAGCAGUGUGCUGUUAUUAUGCGGAUGCAACAUAUUGCUGGAUCAUCAAAGUUAUAUGGAGUGAGGAUGAAAAGAAAUGGUGCUGAAGCUCCCAGAGCAUUUCAUCAAGACCCAACAGCCAUUUAUGCCACAACCUCGUCUGAGACAGCCAUCUGGGUUUAAUGAUAUUCAGUCGGUACAGCAGCACAUCAUGUUCAAGCAGCUGCAAGAACUUCAGAGGCAGCAGCAACUUCAGCAGCUGAGUGGUACCAAUCAAAACUCUAUAGUGAAGUGAAGGCAUUAGAAGUUGAAAUAGAUGCUGUGGCAUAUACUAUUUAAUAGGCAAGGAAUGCCGAAAGAAAUGAAAAUCAUGUCUCGGAUGGUAAUGAUAACAGAGCACAAGAAGAUGCAGAUAACUUGUUAUUCAGACUUCUCUCAAUAAUUUGACUCUUUAGCAUGCCUUAGUUGUUGAUCGUCUAAGAAGCCUCAAGAAAAACAAAAGCUUAACUUGAAAUAGAGCUUUCAAUGGAGUAGGGAGGAUGCCUUAGUCACAUCGUCUGCACAAUUAAAGAAAGGUCCAAUCCAGUUUUCAUACAAUUCAGAGUCUGAUGCUCACAGGAAUACGUUCUCUUCAUCUUCUACAAAAUUUGGACUCAGCAGCUUUGAUGAAGCCGCACUUUCUAUUGAUGAUUCUGUAGAAUACAUGGGAGCAUUGAACACGGUAAAUUUUGGAGCCGAAACCUUCGAAGCCAAAGUCACUAUGUUAGACGACGCUCAUCCAAACGCUCUAAAGAUUUGAAAGCCUAUUGAAGGAGUUGCUUGAUCAGAAAAGUAUUAUGAAGCAGGCAUUAUAUUCCAGAAUGGAGGGUUUAGGAAUUAUCUUGCAUAAGAUUCAGAAUACUGUCACAAUUAUUAAUGAGAAGGAAGUUGUUGUCAUCCAGUCAAAAGAUGAAGUUCUUUGUCUCUCCUAUUACUCAUGCUACAGUGCAAUCUAAGGUUGAAGCAUUUAGCCAAGUCAGAUUCUGUAGUAAUAUAUAUAUUAUUGAAGAAUCUAGGGAGAAUGACAUCGCCAAACGGAUCAGGGAAUGAAUGCCUUAAGGAGAAUAUUGAUACAAAAUUCGUUGAAGAUGACAUGUUUAUUGGACAAUUAUUCCUGGAAUGAGAUGGCUCUCUGAGUCCCAGACUCAAGAGUAAAUAGAUGCAGUAGUUCAAGUACCUCCAACGGUGAUUUAGGCUCUUCAUCAAGUGAUUUGGACCCAGGCACUUCUUCAGAUAGUGAAUCAGAAUGUGUUUCUACAAUUCUGGUAAUGACCCUGCUGGAGAUAUAUAGUUACUGUGAUCUUAUAAUGAGGACUCUCUAUUCCGUAUAAGGAGAAGGUCUUGAUCCGAGGUAGAAAGAGACAUGGUUUAAUCGGUGACCAAGAGAUACCCGGUUUUCGAAAUGGCUUAGUUCAGAUUCUACAGCUGUCAGUAGAGAUAUUCUGGCCAGAAUUAUGUAUUCCAAACAUUUGGGCACGCAGAUAUGGCCUUCGAAAAUGAGGAGCGCAGUUUUAAACGGAAGGAGAUUGUUUUGGGAAAGGGAAAAACAGGUUCUUGUGACUGUCAGCUUUCAAGUCUUAUUUCAUAUUGUUGGUUUGCAACCAAUGAGCUCUAAGUCUGCAAGGAAAGUAAAAUCUGCAAUUAAAGAAUGAGUUUGAAACUGAAGACGAUAUGAUUGGGGAUGGAGCAACAGAAGAUCAAAACCACAGGCUUGGACCUACUACAGAGUUGAAAUGACCAGUUUCGUUCAUUAUAUUUAUGCUUUUGGUGAUUUUCUUCAAAUUCUGCAGAUCUGCUGGAAUGGUCCCUGAACUUGUAAAGCUUGGUGCUUGCUUCUUAUUUUCCAGUAUCUCAUGUUCUCGAAAUAAUAGAAGACUCUGACCGCACUUAAAGGAACCUCUUCAAGGUUCAGAAUGCAUGCAAAUCCAGCAACAAAAGAGGAAACACGCCACAUCCUGGAGCAUUUAGACGCUAAGAGUUUGGCAUUAAACAAAAAGGAUGGAGAUCAGCUUCUAGAUAGAAAUUUAAAUCUGGAUGAGGGGAGCUGCACAGAUGCAGAUGAUUCAGUCAGCUUGUCUAUUUCAAGAGAGGUUCAAGAUGGAAUAGGCCAAAUUGCCAUUCAACCACUAACCACACAAGAAAAUCUUAACAGUUCCAAAAGACAUCAAUAAUGAGCAGAUCAUCCAACUUUGUGCCUUCCAUGUGGUGGUCCUAGUUUAUAGAACAGAGAAGAGAGAAGAAACCUUCAAGAGGAACAAGAGGAUAGAGGAGCUUGGUGUAUUCCUUUGGCAGCCACUUUCAAAAGUCCAGAAAUGUGGAAUCCAUCAGAAAGUCUCUAGCUUACUGCCCAUUUGCCUUCACACAUGCGACUAAGUUGCUGAACCCUUUUGACUGAGGAUUAAUUUCUUAUUAUGGGCAAUUUGAUACGCCUAAAGAACGAGGAGUCAUCCGAGGAACUGGACAUCUGAAAAUCAAUUAAGACGCGAGCAUUCAGUUGAAGAAAGUCAUCUGUGAGCAAGUUGACGAUAGGAGCAGAACUCAGAUGUUAAUUACACUCAAACGAUUUCAUAACAUUCUGUGAACCUGAAUUAGAAGAAAUGCUAGGAGACGUCAGUCAGAGUGCACCAAGUCCUUGCUCAGGUUGUGAAGAAUUCCAUUUCAGCAAUCUACAGAAGCAUCCUCAGGCAACCUAAGUAGUUCAGUCUCAAAAGCAGCCCAGACACUAAUCCAGCUUGGCCGCCUUGCCACACAUCAUACUCCUUCCAAUGUUUCUUUUUCUUCUUUUUUGUGAUCUUAUACAUCUUAAAUCUAGAUUUCAAAACCAUUUUCCAUCAAAAUAACUCCAGUUUUCUUUAAACUUCUUUAGGAGUCUCUAGGCUUAAAAUCCAGAUUUUAACAAAUCUUUUCUUGCCGCUUUCCUUCCGGCACGCAUUUCUAUUGUUUUAUUUGAUUUUCAACUGAUUUUUUUUAUUUUCUCGAUUUUCAACAAGCAUGAACAAACUUUAUGAUUCCAAACAAUGGAAUUCAUGGAAUCAACUCAUGCAAAAUUAAUUAGGGCUUUGGUGGGGGCCCGACAUUCAUGAUAUCCUCUUCAAUAGUGUUUGUUUGACAUUUGAUUAAUUGUGCUUUCUCUGUGAGAUACAUGAGAUUAUUAUGUACCUAUUAUUAAGCAAUCUUGUUUCCCAUAGUGGCGUUUUAGCUUGCUAUCUAGGUACGCUCCUUCACACCUAUUUUUGAGAAUUCCAUGGACACAUGUGUUAUUGAUGACUAUAUCCAUACAUGAUGUGAUUUUUGGGUGUUUUGAUAUAUGCUUGAUUUGCUUAGAUAAAACAAAUGUUGUGUCAUAUUUCCAAACUAAUCUCUUAUGUUUCAUGAUAGCGCUUGAGAAGUCAUUCAGGUACGCACUUCGACUCUCUCUUAUGGUUUGUUUUCUCUUUAGGCAUGCAAUAUUUGAAAUCACCUAGCCUACUUAGGUAUCCAUAAUUAACUGAUUAAUGGCCACACUUCCCUUAACUUUGUUAGUAGAGACCUUUAUAGGGCUUAGAGGGGUGCUACCUUUUAAAGGUACCUUCCCAAUAGGUAACCUGAUCCCCGGACUUAGACUCGGGUUUUUCAAAGACAUGCUUUUUCCAAAACUAUGGAGUCACUUUUUAGGGUUUUUCUUUCUUGUUUUAUUUUCCCUUUAAAAUAAAAAUAAAAUAGGUGGCGACUCCAACUUUUUUUAAAAUUAAUUUUUCACAAAUAAAAAGCAAGUCUCGCCGAUCGAGUGGGGACGCACGUAAAAAAUGCGGGUCCACAAAUUGGCGACUCCAACUUUUUUUUAAAAUUAAUUUUUCACAAUAAAAAGCGAGUCUCGCCGAUCGAGUGGGGACGCACGUGAAAAAUGCGGGUCCACACUUAGCUCUAUCCCUUGAUAAGAGAUAAUCAAGACCAGCUUCUUGUGAGUUGGUUCCUACACCACCUUCAACAUUUGAACCUAUCACCUUAGUACCUUUUGUCUCUAGGCCACCAUGUGCUAAAUCAUUUUGUUGAUCAUGACCAUCUUGAGAUGAUAACUCCACCUCAAACUUAAAAUGGUCUUUGUCAAGUGUCAAGCUCUUGUUUUUAGAAUCUUUCUUUGUACCUGCAGUGUUAGUUCUCAUAAAAAGCAUUUCAUUUUCAUUAAACACAACAUCACGACUUAUUAUUAUUUUAACACCCGAAGAUUCCUUAUUCCAUAACUUGUAACCUUUAACACCCUCUGGAUAACCUAAGAAGAUACAUUUUAUUGACCUUGGUUCUAAUUUUCCUUCACUUUGGUGAACAUAAGCUGUACACCCGAAGAUUCUAAGGUGAUCAUAGUUAGAAGGCUUUCCAGACCAAAGUUCUUCUAGAGUUUUAAGGUCUAUUGCACUAGAUGGAGUUCUAUUUACUAAAUAGCAAGUUGUCAUUACAGCUUCACCCCAAAAAUGUUUAGAUAAGCCAGAACUAUACAACAUACACCUUACUCCAUCUAACAAUGUCCUAUUCAUCCUCUUUGCUAUGCCAUUUUGUUAAGGUGUAUUCCUUACUGUAUUGUGUCUUAAAAUACAUUGAUUUUUACAAAACAUUUUAAAUUCCUCAUUACAAAAAUCUAGCCCAUUAUUUGUCCUUAACACCUUUACUCUUUUAUUGGUUUGAUUUUCAACUAAAGCCUUCCACUCCUUAACCUUUGUUAAGACAGUAUGUUCAUCUUUAGUUCUUAACAACUAUAGCCAAAAUUUUCUAGAGUAAUCAUCAAUCAAGGAUAGAAAGUACCUAUUUCCACCGUGAGUAGAGACUCUUGCGGGCCUCCAUAAAUCUGAAUGCACAUAUUCUAAUACAUCAUUUGACUUGUGUAUUGAAGCUUUGAAUGCCAACCUAUGUUGCUUGCCAAGAAUACAAUAUUGACAAAAAUCAAUUGCUGAUGCUAUCCCCACACAAUAGGCCCUGUUUGUGCAAUUCUUUUAGACCUCGAUCACUCAAGUGACCAAGUCUUCUAUGCCAAAGAAUUGUUUUAUCAGUUUCAAUUCUUAACACUGAUCCCACUAAACCUUUCAAUGUGUGACCUUCUAGGAUAUACAAUCCAUUUCUCUUCUGACCCUUCAUGACAAUUAUGGUACCUUUUGAAAUUGUUAAUUUCCCAAUUUCUACUUUGAAGUUAUAACCUGAUUCGUCCAAAGUUCUAAGAUAUAUUAGAUUUCUCUUCAGGUUUGGUGCAUGCCUGACUUCUUUUAGAGUUCUUGUCAUUCCAUCAAACAUGUUAAUAGCCACCGUGCCAAUUCCAACCACACUGCAGCUCAUGUUGUUUCCCAGCAGUAUCUUUCCACCAUUAACUUCUUGGACAAAUAUGAUAGGUGCAACCUGAGUCCAAGACCCAUUCUUCAUGAUUUUGAUUCAAUGUAACAGUGAGUAUCUCUGCACUAUCAUAACCAUCAUCUAUAAUGGCAACACUUCCUUGUGCUUGAGUCUUUUCUUCUUCUUGUCUAUUUGGACAAAUUCUUCUUAUAUGUCCCAUAUUGUUGCAAUGAUAGCAUUUGACAUUUCUAUAAUCUUCCUUGCCUUUGGACUUUGAUCUUGAACGAGAUUUUCCUCAAUUUCCAUCGUUAUUUUUAUUCUGAGGUAUUCCUCUGGCAGUUAAACUUUCACCAAUGUUAGUUUUGUCAGAGGACUUCAUAUCCAACACCUUAGCAUUCAAGGCAUUUUGAACAUCAUCAAAUGUAAUGGCAUCUCUGCCAUAUUUCAAGGUUUCUUUAAAAUGCUUCAAAGAUUUAGGUAGAGAGUUUAAGAGAAUGAUUGCCUUAUCUUCAUCCUCCACCUUGAAAUCUAAACUCUCUAAAUCCAACACCAAUUUAUUAAACUCAUCUAAGGCAUCAUCAAUUGGCUUGGAUUCUUCAAUCUUGAAACCAUAUAAAUGUUCCUUCAGAUAAAUGUGAUUUGGCAAAGCUCGGGUUUUGUACAGUUCUUCCAACUUUUUCCAAACCCUAGCAACAGUUUUCUCAUGAAAUACUUUUCUCAGAACCUGAUCAGAAAGACUUAAUAUGAUCGAGCCGUAAGCCUUUCUUUGAAAUUCUUGCAUUCACUUUUCAGUCAUGCUUUCUGGAAGAUCUUUAUCAAGCAAUAAAGCCUUUUCAACGCCCUGUUGAAUCAAGAUGGACUCCAUCUUCAUCUUCCACAACCUGAAGUCAUUUCUGCCAUUGAACUUCUCAAUAUCAUACUUUGUAGUCAACACUCUUCUUUCUCUGUUCUUGAUUUAGCUUUGAUACUAGAUGUUGAGGUUUUAUCCAAGUUCCUUAAUAAAUUGAGAUCAAACACCAAUUUAAGAAGACAAAGAAAAACAAUACCAGGAAUCAUAAAAUAAAAAUAAAAAAAAAAAUAAAAACAGAGCAAGACAAGCAGAAUUUAUGUGGUUCGGAUCCAAGAUUUGAAUCCUAAAUCCACGGAUCAAGAUCACCUCCAAAAAUCCACUAAGAUUGAACCAUUUUACACCCUCAAGAAUCUCUGAGAAUUUUCUUGCUCUCUCUACAGUACAAUGAAGAAGAUUCAAACUCUGAAAUCCUUUCACACCUGUUCUGAAAUCCAAAUAUCAAGUCUAUGAACUAGAGAUAGGGCACUGCUUAAUCCAUAUAGACCACUAAAUUUAAAGAUUCAUUUUAAUUUUAAAGGAAUUUGGGCUUACCAUCAUCUUGCUAGGACACAUUGAAACAUGCAGUAAACGAUCAUCUAAUAUUAAACUGUGGUCUCGUUGUUCUUCAUGUUCCAGAAUUUGUUAGAAUUUCUGCAGUACGGAGAUAAGAAUCAAUACUCUUUACAUUUCCUACUAGUGAUGAGGAUGCCAGAGAUGUGGGAGUACUUGAUGGCGACCUCUUUCCAUAAUAUAUUGUCUUGAAUCCAAUGCAUUGUCUCUCUGCUAAACAAGGAGAAGUAGUUUUUGUUAUGGGCGUAAAUCAACUGCAGGAGAAGGAUAAGGCCUUGCGCUUGGAAGGGGCCCAUCCUACCUGAUGGUUUUUGGAGCUCGUGGGGGAGAUGCUGAGCGCUUUUUAUAUUGGGUGAUGCUCAUGAAUGUGCUGCAUGAAGAAAUCUCUGGAGCACAAGUAGAGGCGCCUGCUGUUAUCUUCUUUUCUGCCGGAGAUGGAGAUUGAAGACUCAUGGGCAUGCAUUUUCAACUUAGUAUUUUGUUGGAACACAUUCCACGAACUCUCUGGCACAAAAGCAGUAGUUUAAUUCAGAUUCACAGUACUUCGUGUAACUUCAGCCAAAGCAGACCAAGUUUUAAUUCAAUGAAGUGUAAGUUUAAGUUCAAAA